CCAAUCAAACCGGGAAAUAGCUCGUACUCCCCGAAAUGCUUUUAGGAGCAGCGUAUAGUUAAGUGUAUAAGAGGUAGAGCUACUGGUUGGGCUAGGGGGAGUCACAUCCUACCAAACCCUAUCAAACUCCGAAUGCUUAUACAUGUUUCUAUGCAGUGAGGGUAUGGGUGCUAAGGUCCAUAUCCAAAAGGGAAAGAACCCAGAGCAUCAGCUAAGGUCCCCAAGUGUAUACUAAGUUGAGAAAAUGUGGUGUGAUUGCUUAGACAGCCAGGAUGUUGGCUUGGAAGCAGCCAUUCAUUUAAAGAGUGCGUAACAGCUCACUAGUCGAGCGGUUCGGCAUGGAUAAUAAUCGGGCAUAAACAUACUACCGAAGCUAUGGCAUCUUUAAGAUGGGUAGGGGAGCAUUCUAUAUGUAUUGAAGUUGAGCUGUGAGGCUUGGUGGAACGUAUAGAAAAGAAAAUGUAGGCAUAAGUACCGAUAAUGAAGAUGAGAAAU
Molecule: ribosomal RNA, 495 nt
Filed under: Asterionellopsis glacialis
Lineage: Eukaryota; Bacillariophyta; Plagiogrammaphyceae; Rhaphoneidales; Asterionellopsidaceae
Description: partial Bacterial large subunit ribosomal RNA
Rfam family: Bacterial large subunit ribosomal RNA
Source: RNAcentral